Molecule: transfer RNA, 74 nt
Filed under: Olea europaea subsp. europaea
Lineage: Eukaryota; Viridiplantae; Streptophyta; Magnoliopsida; Lamiales; Oleaceae
Rfam family: tRNA
About the family: Transfer RNA (tRNA) molecules are approximately 80 nucleotides in length.
Source: Rfam by way of RNAcentral
GCCUCCGUGGCGCAAUUGGUUAGCGCGUUCGGCUGUUAACCGAAAGGUUGGUGGUUCAAGUCCACCCGGGGGCG